CUACAGGUUCCAGUUCGGGUGUCCCCGGUGAGCGUGAGGAUCGCGGUAAGGGCCCGGCGCUUUAGUAGCAUUAGCUACCUUCCUUUUUGCACUAGCCGUCACCCUUUUAUAUUUGAGAGUAGAUGAUGUAUAGGGUGAGGUUCGAGUGAUUGUAUUUAUAUUUUGGAAGAAUGUAAAAGAUGUAAUUGAAUGUAUUAAGUCAAAUGAAUGUAAUAGAUAGCUCUUCUCUCUUUAUGUACUUGUAUAUGUUUCUAUACUUGUAUCUUGCUCUUGUUUGUCGCACUGGUGGUGCUUCUUGAUCGUGUAUUUAUGAAUUGAAUUCCUGGGUAAAUUCUCAUACAUGAUCUGUUGGUUGCCUUGGGCGGACAGGGGAGGUCCUGUCCGUUCGACGUCUGUUCGACGCGCCCGGGCCGGACCAAAUUGGUAGCGGUCUCGGGGCGUGACACUAUGACCGUAUAGUACUUGGAGAGCUAGUUGGUCCCCAAGAUAACAUCGAAUCCCCAAAUCUGAUCUAGCACUAGUAGAUCUAUCGGCAUAAUCCAAUCGCCUAUUUGCAUUGGACACGCCAAACAUUCAUUGUGGACACUGAACGAAUGUUCUGGAGCAUUCACCCAUCAGUAGUCCUCGUUGUAUACCAUCUCUAUG
This 645-nucleotide long non-coding RNA is filed under the name Ananas comosus (pineapple). RNAcentral describes it as "long non-coding RNA (ACOM_LNC039928)". The record is from RNAcentral. Lineage: Eukaryota; Viridiplantae; Streptophyta; Magnoliopsida; Poales; Bromeliaceae.